Molecule: long non-coding RNA, 621 nt
Organism: Nomascus leucogenys (northern white-cheeked gibbon)
Lineage: Eukaryota; Metazoa; Chordata; Mammalia; Primates; Hylobatidae
Exons: 4
Source: RefSeq, a predicted model, not a curated record
AGCUUUCCCCUGAAAGUUCUCCAGGCGGCGGUCUCUUUUUUCUGCCUUUUUGUUUCCCUCUGGCGAGUCGGCGCCACUGUGAAUUUCCGUUUCCGGCGGUGUCCAAGCGGACCUGAGAACUCGCAGUUGUGAGCAGGUUAGAGUUACUCGUUAUUGGUAAAUAGCCAACUAUGGAGACUAAGGACCAGAAGAAACACAGAAAGAAAAACAGUGGACCCAAAGAUGAAAAGAAAAAGAGGUGGCAUCUGCAGGAUCUUCAGCUAGGAGAUGAAGAAGAUGCCCAGAAGAGAAAUCCCAACGCUUUUGCAGUUCAGUCUGCUGUGUGGAUGGCUCGAUCCUUUCACAGAACUCAGGAUUUGAAGACCAAAAAAGCAUCAUAUUCCCGUGGUUGAACGAACUCCACUAGAGCCCCCACCAAUAGUGGUAGUGGUGAUGGGGCCUCCAAAGUUGGAAAGAGCACUUUGAUAUAAUGCCUCAUUCGGAACUUCACCUGGCAGAAGUUGACCGAGAUCAGAGGCCCUGUGACAAUCGUGUCAGGUAAAAAACACAGACUCACCAUUAUUGAAUGCGGGUGCGACAUUAACAUGAUGAUCUAUCUGGCUAAAGUAGCAGAUCUGGUAA